AACGCAUAUUGCGCUCUCUGGUAUUCCGGAGAGCAUGCCUGUUUCAGCAUCAUUUGAACAAAUCAAAAUCGCCUUUGCGUGAUUUUGGAAGGCUGGGCCUUUUCUGUUGUGCGUCAGGCACAACUGGCCUGAAAUGUGUGACAAAUAAAUGCAAGAAAAACACGUAGUUGUGCUCUUUAUUGCAAAAGACGAAAAGCUAAUUAGUUGACCGUGGUCAAACUUGCUGAAUAGUCUUUGAAUGUAAAGUGAGCUACGCUCACAAAUUGAUCUGAAAUCAGGUAGGAUUACCCGCUGAACUUAA
RNAcentral lists this unclassified non-coding RNA (301 nucleotides) under uncultured fungus. RNAcentral describes it as "sequence contains ITS2". The record is from RNAcentral. Lineage: Eukaryota; Fungi.